AAUGUAUCUGUUGAGGGGAAAAUAAUCAAUGCAAAUUCCCUGGCAGUGAGGCCAACAAAUAAGACAUGUCUGAUUCAUCAAGCGGACAUUGCUUUAAAGACCACAGUUUCUUCUUUGCCCCCAUUUCUCACUCUUUCCUUCUCUCCAUUUUGUCUCUUUUCCUCCUCUUUCCCACCUCUGGGACACUUCACCCAUUUUUACUCUGUCCACCCUUCUCCGUACAAAAAAAAAAAAAAAACUGUUAGCCUGAAUUAGUGGAAGAAGCUUAAAUUUCUUUCCAUGUGCUCAUUGGAUUUCAUCAUAGACAGCAUAUAAAGACAAUGCAGAUGAUGGUGUGCGCCAUCAAAGCCAAAAUAAGCUUUUGCAGCUGGGCUACCCUGCCUUGCUUGGAUGCAUCAACAAAGCUUGAAGUGGCCACUCUAAUCUGAUGUCCAAACUGUAGCUGCACCAACAACCCCUGGAUGCAGCGAUGAAUGGAGGAGGAAACCACAGAGCCUGACCAGCCACCCAGCCAAACCCCAUCCAGGAUACAACACAUAAACCCAUGUCAGCCAGGUACCUGAUCCACCAGGUCAAAAACAACCCACCAGCCACCCCAUCUCAUCCCCUCCCAGGACAGUAGGCCAGCCCCAGGUCAGGGGCCACAGCAGCAGGGAGACGAGGCAGAGGAAGGCCAAAGAAUAGCCACCCCCACCAAUCACAGACCAGGGRGCAUCCAAUCAAUGAGAAAUCAUCAGGUUUUUCCAGUUCAGUUACCAAGGAGAGACCCAGAGGAGACCCAUUGAACAACAUAUAUCAAACACUAACUGUUGCCCUCAGACACCAUACGUUAGUGAUUAAGUACAAAAUUAGCCUAAUUAACUGUUUUGCUGCCAUCUAUUAUAUACAUGCCUGUAUACUUUACAGUGCCAUCAAGCUGGCGUAUUUUAGUAUAGUAGUCAAUUGAGUUUGUACCCAUAUUCACUCAUAAGUUAUAGCAUACCACAGUAACUGUAUUUCAAAAAAGAAAUUUGCUUUAUUUAAAUUAAUGAGCCUUGUGGCAUUGAUGCCACUAAUUUACCUGCACUGUGGAGACUGAGUAUAGCAGUGAAAAUAAUAUUAGCAUAACUCUGGAUAUUGAUAUAUUUCAUGUGUAAAGUGUAAAGGGUAAAUUUUGAAAGCCUUUGACAUCUGUCUCCUUCUCUCCUUCAUUAUGUGCUGGCUGAUAUUGCAUCUUGAUUUAAUUUUGAAAU
Molecule: non-coding RNA, 1232 nt
Organism: Poecilia reticulata (guppy)
Lineage: Eukaryota; Metazoa; Chordata; Actinopteri; Cyprinodontiformes; Poeciliidae
Source: RefSeq, a predicted model, not a curated record